Molecule: ribosomal RNA, 497 nt
Filed under: uncultured bacterium
Lineage: Bacteria
Description: partial 16S ribosomal RNA
Rfam family: Bacterial small subunit ribosomal RNA
Source: RNAcentral
GAUGAACGCUGGCGGCGUGCCUAAUACAUGCAAGUCGAGCGAACAGACGAGGAGCUUGCUCCUCUGACGUUAGCGGCGGACGGGUGAGUAACACGUGGAUAACCUACCUAUAAGACUGGGAUAACUUCGGGAAACCGGAGCUAAUACCGGAUAAUAUAUUGAACCGCAUGGUUCAAUAGUGAAAGACGGUUUUGCUGUCACUUAUAGAUGGAUCCGCGCCGCAUUAGCUAGUUGGUAAGGUAACGGCUUACCAAGGCAACGAUGCGUAGCCGACCUGAGAGGGUGAUCGGCCACACGGGAACUGAGACACGGGCCAGACUCCUACGGGAGGCAGCAGUGGGGAAUCUUCGGCAAUGGGCGAAAGCCUGACGGAGCAACGCCGCGUGAGUGAUGAAGGUAUUCGGAUCGUAAAGCUCUGUUAUUAGGGAAGAACAAAUGUGUAAGUAACUAUGCACGUCUUGACGGUACCUAAUCAGAAAGCAACGGCUAACUACGUG